AGGCUAGAAAAUUGCGCAAUGGGCGAAAGCCUGACGCAGCGACGCCGCGUGAAGGAUGAAAGCAUUUUUUGUUGUAAACUUCUUUUAUAUGAGACGAUGGUUACGUCUGCUAAUAUCAGCCGUAAUUGACGGUAUCAUUUGAAUAAGCUCCGGCUAAAUCCGUGCCAGCAGCCGCGGUAAUACGGAUGGAGCUAGCGUUGUCCGGAAUCACUGGGCGUAAAGGGGGUGUAGGUUGUGGUGUAAGUCAUGGGUGAAAAUCACAAGCUCAACUUGUGACCUGCCUUUGAUACUGCGCCGCUAGAGGUCAGUAGAGGAGAGCGGAACUACCGGUGUAGCGGUGAAAUGCACAGAUAUCGGUAGGAACACCAGAGGCGAAGGCGGCUCUCUGGACUGAUUCUGACACUGAAACCCGAAAGCUGGGGGAGCAAACAGGAUUAGAGACCCUGGUAGUCCCAGCCCUAAACGAUGAGCACUAGGCGUGGGAUCGCAAAUGGUUCCGUGUCGUAGCUAACGCGUUAAGUGCUCCGCCUGGGGAGUACGCUCGCAAGAGUGAAACUCAAAGGAAUUGACGGGACCCCGCACAAGCGGUGGAGGAUGUUGUUUAAUUCGAUGCAACGCGAAGAACCUUACCUGGACUUGACAUGCAGGUAGUACUGAAGUGAAAGCGGAUGGACCCCUUCGGGGGAGCCCGCACAGGUGCUGCAUGGCUGUCGUCAGCUCGUGCCGUGAGGUGUUGGGUUAAGUCUCGCAACGAGCGCAACCCCUGCCUCCAGUUGCCAUCAGAUCUUCGGAUGCUGGGCACUCUGGCGGGACUGCCUGCGUAAGCAGGAGGAAGGUGGGGAUGAUGUCAAGUCAUCAUGGCCCUUACGUCCAGGGCUACAAACGUCCUACAAUGCUCGGUACAAAGAGAAGCUAAACCGCGAGGUCAAGCCAAUCUCAUAAAGCCGGGCUCAGUUCGGAUUGCAGUCUGCAACUCGACUGCAUGAAGCUGGAAUCGCUAGUAAUCGCGCAUCAGAACGGCGCGGUGAAUACGUUCCCGGGGUUUGUACACACCGCCCGUCAAGCCAUGGAAGCUGGUAGUACCUAAAGUUGCCGACCCAACCUUUACUGGAGGGAGGCACCUAAGGUAAGGCCAGUGACUGGGGCU
This 1147-nucleotide ribosomal RNA is filed under the name uncultured bacterium. RNAcentral's name for it is "bacterial SSU rRNA". It matches the Rfam family "Bacterial small subunit ribosomal RNA", at positions 353 to 1482 of the family's 1533-position model. The record is from RNAcentral.